GAUGAACGCUGGCGGCGUGCCUAAUACAUGCAAGUCGAGCGAACGGACGAGAAGCUUGCUUCUCUGAUGUUAGCGGCGGACGGGUGAGUAACACGUGGAUAACCUACCUAUAAGACUGGGAUAACUUCGGGAAACCGUAGCUAAUACCGGAUAAUAUUUUGAACCGCAUGGUUCAAAAGUGAAAGACGGUCUUGCUGUCACUUAUAGAUGGAUCCGCGCUGCAUUAGCUAGUUGGUAAGGUAACGGCUUACCAAGGCAACGAUGCAUAGCCGACCUGAGAGGGUGAUCGGCCACACUGGAACUGAGACACGGUCCAGACUCCUACGGGAGGCAGCAGUAGGGAAUCUUCCGCAAUGGGCGAAAGCCUGACGGAGCAACGCCGCGUGAGUGAUGAAGGUCUCCGGAUCGUAAAACUCUGUUAUUAGGGAAGAACAUAUGUGUAAGUAACUGUGCACAUCUUGACGGUACCUAAUCAGAAAGCCACGGCUAACUACGUGCCAGCAGCCGCGGUAAUACGUAGGUGGCAAGCGUUAUCCGGAAUUAUUGGGCGUAAAGCGCGCGUAGGCGGUUUUUUAAGUCUGAUGUGAAAGCCCACGGCUCAACCGUGGAGGGUCAUUGGAAACUGGAAAACUUGAGUGCAGAAGAGGAAAGUGGAAUUCCAUGUGUAGCGGUGAAAUGCGCAGAGAUAUGGAGGAACACCAGUGGCGAAGGCGACUUUCUGGUCUGUAACUGACGCUGACGUGCGAAAGCGUGGGGAUCAAACAGGAUUAGAUACCCUGGUAGUCCACGCCGUAAACGAUGAGUGCUAAGUGUUAGGGGGUUUCCGCCCCUUAGUGCUGCAGCUAACGCAUUAAGCACUCCGCCUGGGGAGUACGACCGCAAGGUUGAAACUCAAAGGAAUUGACGGGGACCCGCACAAGCGGUGGAGCAUGUGGUUUAAUUCGAAGCAACGCGAAGAACCUUACCAAAUCUUGACAUCCUUUGACAACUCUAGAGAUAGAGCCUUCCCCUUCGGGGGACAAAGUGACAGGUGGUGCAUGGUUGUCGUCAGCUCGUGUCGUGAGAUGUUGGGUUAAGUCCCGCAACGAGCGCAACCCUUAAGCUUAGUUGCCAUCAUUAAGUUGGGCACUCUAAGUUGACUGCCGGUGACAAACCGGAGGAAGGUGGGGAUGACGUCAAAUCAUCAUGCCCCUUAUGAUUUGGGCUACACACGUGCUACAAUGGACAAUACAAAGGGCAGCGAAACCGCGAGGUCAAGCAAAUCCCAUAAAGUUGUUCUCAGUUCGGAUUGUAGUCUGCAACUCGACCACAUGAAGCUGGAAUCGCUAGUAAUCGUAGAUCAGCAUGCUACGGUGAAUACGUUCCCGGGUCU
RNAcentral lists this ribosomal RNA (1372 nucleotides) under uncultured bacterium. Its description in RNAcentral is "bacterial SSU rRNA". It matches the Rfam family "Bacterial small subunit ribosomal RNA", at positions 28 to 1381 of the family's 1533-position model. The record is from RNAcentral.